This 460-nucleotide ribosomal RNA is filed under the name uncultured bacterium. RNAcentral describes it as "partial 16S ribosomal RNA". It matches the Rfam family "Bacterial small subunit ribosomal RNA", at positions 338 to 795 of the family's 1533-position model. The record is from RNAcentral.
CCUACGGGAGGCAGCAGUGAGGAAUUUUGGUCAAUGGACGCAAGUCUGAACCAGCCAUGCCGCGUGCAGGAAGACGGCUCUAUGAGUUGUAAACUGCUUUUGUACGAGGGUAAACGCAGAUACGCGUAUCUGUCUGAAAUUAUCGUACGAAUAAGGAUCGGCUAACUCCGUGCCAGCAGCCGCGGUAAUAAGGAGGAUUCAAGCGUUAUCCGGAUUUAUGGGGUUUAAAGUGUGCGUAGGCGGUCGGAUAAGUUAGAGGUGAAAUCCCGAGGUUGAACUUCGGAAUUGCCUCGGAUACUGUUUGGCUAGAGAGUAGUUGCGGUAGGCGGAAUGUAUGGUGUAGCGGUGAAAUGCUUAGAGAUCAUACAGAACACCGAUUGCGAAGGCAGCUUACCAAGCUACUUCUGACGUUGAGGCACGAAAGCGUGGGGAGCAAACAGGAUUAGAUACCCGUGUAGUC